UACGUAGGCAGCAAGCGUUGUUCGGAGUUACUGGGCGUAAAGGGUGUGUAGGCGGCUCUCUAAGUUUGGUGUGAAAUCCCCAGGCUUAACCUGGGAACUGCGUCUGAUACUGGAUGGCUUGAAUUCGGGAGAGGGAUGCAGAAUUCCAGGUGUAGCGGUGAAAUGCGUAGAUAUCUGGAGGAAUACCGGUGGCGAAGGCGGCAUCCUGGACCGAGAUUGACGCUGAUGAGCGAAAGCUAGGGGAGCAAACGGG
RNAcentral lists this ribosomal RNA (253 nucleotides) under uncultured bacterium. RNAcentral describes it as "partial 16S ribosomal RNA". It matches the Rfam family "Bacterial small subunit ribosomal RNA", at positions 524 to 776 of the family's 1533-position model. The record is from RNAcentral.